RNAcentral lists this long non-coding RNA (1067 nucleotides) under Pongo abelii (Sumatran orangutan). RNAcentral describes it as "lincRNA". The record is from RNAcentral. Lineage: Eukaryota; Metazoa; Chordata; Mammalia; Primates; Hominidae.
GAAGGGUGUUAUUUUUUUCAGAUGUUCAGCCCACAAGAGCUUACAGGUGAAGGAAUGGGACAAGACCCAUCUUUAUGCAAAGCCAGCGUUACAGUAAUGUUCCAGCAUCUCAUAAUCUAUCCUGAGGAAUUCAGCUGCCUCCCAGGGUGAAUACAGGUAUUUCUGAUGACAGUCUGCCUCUAUCUUACAGAGCAGCUUGUUGCUAUAUACCAUUGAAAAGCCUUCAGAGCUAAGAGGUACUACUAACCAAUAACCUGCUUGGCUCAAAGGGCCAGCACCUUCUCUCUAAAGCCCAAGAGGAGUUUGAGGAAAACUAGGUGUCUCUGUUCACUCCAGGCUGAAGUUACAGGUUUGAGGAAAGGUGUAUAAAAAAUGGAAUCUGUCUUGGAGGACAUCAGAAGUUGAAUUUUCCAAGUCCUUGGACAACCUAGCUGUUGAAAAGCUUUCUGGAUUUGGGGGGUCUUUCAGAUGUACCUUAAAGUGUUAGCAGACACAGAUUAAGACACUGGGAGCCAAUGAAACAUAGCAGUUGAGGGUUUGCUAUGUAUCACAUUUCUGUAUUUUAUCACCUCCUUCCUGCAACAUUAUUUCUGUGGAAUCUACCUGCCCUUUUGUUUUUUAGAUACAAGGGCUUGGUUUUGUUACCAAGGCUGGUUUCAAGGCCCUAGCUUUAAGAGAUCCUCCCACCACAGAUUUCCAAAGUGCUGGGAUUGCAGGUAUGAUUAGUGGCACCCAGACUUUGCUGCCUUUCUUACAUGAUCAAGGCCCGGAACCCAAACUCAGGCACUGCAUAGAUGACCAGUUUGGUAAACUACUGACCUAGCUUGUUGCCAAUUGUGAUUGAGCUUCCCAUAACUCCACUUCGUUUCUGUUUCUCUGUAUACAGACACCUUCUAUUCCCAUCAUGAGCCUUUAGGUCUCCAUUUGCAUAUUGCAAAUACUAUGUUCCGUGUAGGUAGCUCAUUCAGUGCCUUGCUCUUCACUUCAAAAAAGGUUCCCUUGAGGACUGGCUGUCAAUUUGUGUUGCUGUGUUGGUUAAUGAAAAUAAUAAAAUGAUUGAUUACAUA